CGAACGCUGGCGGCGCGCCUAAUACAUGCAAGUCGAGCGAGAAGACGUAGCAAUACGUUUGUAAAGCGGCGAACGGGUGAGGAAUACAUGGGUAACCUACCCUCGAGUGGGGAAUAACUAGCCGAAAGGUUAGCUAAUACCGCAUACGACUCUCGGUCUGCGGAUCGAGAGGGAAAGCGAUACCGUGGGUAUCGCGCUCAUGGAUGGGCUCAUGUCCUAUCAGCUUGUUGGUGAGGUAACGGCUCACCAAGGCUUCGACGGGUAGCUGGUCUGAGAGGACGAUCAGCCACACUGGCACUGCGACACGGGCCAGACUCCUACGGGAGGCAGCAGUAAGGAAUAUUGCGCAAUGGGCGACAGCCUGACGCAGCGACGCCGCGUGGGGGAUGAAGGUCUUCGGAUUGUAAACCCCUUUCGGCAGGGAAGAUGGAACGGGUAACCGUUCGGACGGUACCUGCAGAAGCAGCCACGGCUAACUUCGU
Molecule: ribosomal RNA, 482 nt
Filed under: uncultured bacterium
Lineage: Bacteria
Description: bacterial SSU rRNA
Rfam family: Bacterial small subunit ribosomal RNA
Source: RNAcentral